CCUACGGGAGGCAGCAGUGAGGAAUAUUGGUCAAUGGGCGCGAGACUGAACCAGCCAAGUAGCGUGCAGGAUGACUGCCCUACGGGUUGUAAACUUCUUUUAUACAGGAAUAAAGUGAGGCACGUGUGAUUUUUUGUAUGUACCUCAUGAAUAAGGAUCGGCUAACUCCGUGCCAGCAGCCGCGGUAAUACGGAGGUUCCGAGCGUUAUCCGGAUUUAUUGGGUUUAAAGGGAGCGUAGAUGGGAUGUUAAGCCAGUUGUGAAAUUCGGCGGCUCAACCGUGGAAUUGCAAUUGAUACUGGCAGUCUUGAGUACAGGUGAGGUAGGCGGAAUUCGUGGUGUAGCGGUGAAAUGCUUAGAUAUCACGAAGAACUCCGAUUGCGAAGGCAGCAUACGAAACAGCCACUGACGGUGAUGCUCGAAGGUGUGGGUAUCGAACAGGAUUAGAUACCCCGGUAGUC
Molecule: ribosomal RNA, 460 nt
Filed under: uncultured bacterium
Lineage: Bacteria
Description: partial 16S ribosomal RNA
Rfam family: Bacterial small subunit ribosomal RNA
Source: RNAcentral